GUUGAAGAACGUAGCGAAAUGCGAUAAGUAAUGUGAAUUGCAGAAUUCAGUGAAUCAUCGAAUCUUUGAACGCACAUUGCGCCCGCCAGUAUUCUGGCGGGCAUGCCUGUUCGAGCGUCAUUUCAACCAUCAGGCCCCCCGGCUUGUGUUGGGGACCUGCGGCUGCCGCAGGCCCUGAAAAGCAGUGGCGGGCUCGCUGUCACACCGAGCGUAGUAGAUCUCAUCUCGCUCAGGGCGUGCUGCGGGUUCCGGCCGUUAAACCACCUUCAUAACCCAAGGUUGACCUCGGAUCAGGUAGGAAGACCCGCUGAACUUAAGCAUAUCAAUAACGGAGGA
RNAcentral lists this unclassified non-coding RNA (336 nucleotides) under soil metagenome. RNAcentral describes it as "partial contains 5.8S ribosomal RNA, internal transcribed spacer 2, and large subunit ribosomal RNA". The stretch from base 1 to 120 matches the Rfam family "5.8S ribosomal RNA", at positions 35 to 154 of the family's 154-position model. The record is from RNAcentral.